RNAcentral lists this ribosomal RNA (253 nucleotides) under uncultured bacterium. Its description in RNAcentral is "partial 16S ribosomal RNA". It matches the Rfam family "Bacterial small subunit ribosomal RNA", at positions 524 to 776 of the family's 1533-position model. The record is from RNAcentral.
UACGGAGGGUGCAAGCGUUAUCCGGAUUCACUGGGUUUAAAGGGUGCGUAGGCGGGCAGGUAAGUCAGAGGUGAAAUCUCCGGGCUUAACCCGGAAACUGCCUUUGAUACUAUCUGUCUUGAAUAUGGUGGAGGUAAGCGGAAUAUGUCAUGUAGCGGUGAAAUGCUUAGAUAUGACAUAGAACACCGAUAGCGAAGGCAGCUUGCUACACAAAAAUUGACGCUGAGGCACGAAAGCGUGGGGAUCAAACAGG